CCUACGGGUGGCAGCAGUGAGGAAUAUUGGUCAAUGGACGAGAGUCUGAACCAGCCAAGUAGCGUGAAGGAUGACUGCCCUAUGGGUUGUAAACUUCUUUUAUAAAGGAAUAAAACGCGGCACGUGUGCCUUUUUGCAUGUACCUUAUGAAUAAGGAUCGGCUAACUCCGUGCCAGCAGCCGCGGUAAUACGGAGGAUCCGAGCGUUAUCCGGGUUUAUUGGGUUUAAAGGGAGCGUAGAUGGGUUGUUAAGUCAGUUGUGAAAGUUUGCGGCUCAACCGUAAAAUUGCAAUUGAUACUGGCAGUCUAGAGUACAGUUGAGGUAGGCGGAAUGCGUGGUGUAGCGGUGAAAUGCUUAGAUAUCACGAAGAACCCCGAUUGCGAAGGCAGCAUACUAAACUGUGACUGACAUUGAUGCUCGAAAGUGUGGGUAUCAAACAGGAUUAGAUACCCUUGUAGUC
RNAcentral lists this ribosomal RNA (460 nucleotides) under uncultured bacterium. RNAcentral describes it as "partial 16S ribosomal RNA". It matches the Rfam family "Bacterial small subunit ribosomal RNA", at positions 338 to 795 of the family's 1533-position model. The record is from RNAcentral.